AGCAAUCCAGAGAAAUGUGUUCUAUAUGUCAUAAUUGCAAAGUGAAUGGAUGGUGUGAGAAACUGAAAUGGUUAAUGGCUUAAACAUUGUUAAGAUUACUGAAAGACUUUUGUCCACUGUAGAAAACUGUGCAAAGACACAACUGCUCACUGAAGCAACUCCCACACUCCCUCCCCAAAUAUACUUAUUAAUUUGGACCGUGAGGGGAACUUGAGAUAAGAUAAAGGUUCUACUAUUGUCCAGUUAUCCCAGGAGAAGAAUGUACCCACAAGUGUGAAAGAAUAGAGUGCUGACCCCCAUGGACUUCCGUCACCACACAGGUUUUUUUCUCUCACCACCCUGGACUCAGACUGCAACCAUCACUUCAACAAGACUGGAACUCACCAUCAAGAAGGCCACAAGAACAGGAUCAACAGGAUGUCACCGGAGUCUACAGAGUGGUCCAAAUCCAUAGAUAAAUCAUCUUCAUCUGCUGCUGAUGCCCAUUUGCCCUCCUGCUUAAGACUUGGUUCCAACUCCCUUUUAAAAACCUGUGAAAACACAAUACAGGUAAAAGGCCAAUCAGUUCAGGCAGGAACAAUCACUACUUUGGCUUAAGGGUAUGGCUGCCAGCCAUAAGCACAUCUGUCAUAUUGCUUUGAAGAAAGUGAAGCUUCAUAUAGGGCCAGAGAUGCAUUUGCAUAAUCUCUUUGACAAUAAGUGAUGGAACAGCAAUAAGGUCUAUUUUGGACUAUAAAAAAUCUUGAGCUGUGAGGGAAGAAGGUGAGGUGGGAAUAAUAAGACAAAUAUUGAAAUGAAAAUAAGAAAGAACAGAUGGACUAGACAAAUCAGAUAUCUGCAUAGUGGAAAAAAUAUUAUAUACAAAUGCGUUUUCUGAAAAUCAGUGUGUUUCUACUGUCUAGGCAUUUCUGAACAAAGCAAGAGCACUAGAAAAUUGAAAUAGCAGAGUAAGAUCAAAAGAUGAAGCCAUUUGGGAGUAUAAAAAUAAUGAUAAGACAAUGCAUAGGGUUCUGCUGAGGAAAACAAGGAACACAUUAAUUAUAUGGGAACUCCUCGCAUGCAAGUGUUAGGAAGAUUGACAUGUGGGACCUUUAGCCAGUGUAUCAUCAGAUUUACUUCGUAUUAUGCAAUAUUGUACUGAUAUGAGUGAUCCAUGAACAACAAAUCAAUGUUUAAAUGUUUAAAGAAUUUAUUUUUUUAAUAUCCUUACAAUGGAAAAAAUAUUCAGAACUGUAUGUUGUCAGUAUAUUCGCAUUAUAUACAUACUUUAAAUAUAUUGUUUAUAACACUGAAAUGUGUGUUGUCAUUAUAUUUAGAAAUUAUUUAAAUUUUCCUUGGAUUUACUAAACACAUGGUUGAUAUUGAUGUUAUUUACACUUUGAAUUAUUGGGAAAUGUUGCAGUUUGAACUGUCUCCUGUUUGACGGAUCAGAUAAAUCAGAUGUUUUUAUUUCCAGAACUCGAUUAUAAAAUGUACUCACAACAGACUCUUUCACAAAUACAAACAAAAAGUUCCUGCAAAAAUGUGUGUUAGCAAAAUGCAAUAGUCCACGGGAGAUACAACAAAGUUACCUUUUUAUCCAUUAGUACCUCAGUGUGACAGGAAAAUAAAAACACAACUAGCAUAUCCAGUAUGUCAGAUCAUAAUUAUCAUGAGUUGUCAAUCCCUUUUGGUGGUUUACACUGUGGUGGAGUAAACUCGUAUGUUGGUCUACCUCUUGAAGAUCUAUCUAACCAGGGAUGGUCUCUCUAAUAUUAUAUGCCUUGUUUUUGUGUUUUAAUCCUAGGAAAAUAAUACUGAUAUAAUCUUCUUCCAGCAUGCAGAUCAACUUUUCUUUUCUCUUGUGAAUUACUUUCUGAACAUUUUAUUGAAAAUUGUUGAAAAGAUCUUGCUGACUGGAGCAAAUUCCAUGUAAUCAAGGACAAUUGCUAUAAAAUGGCAAAUGAACACUUAUUGGAAGCUUGUGUGCCUGUGAUCCUAAAAAUGAGCUAUCAAGAUAUCAGUAUAAGUAAAGACAAUAUUCAACUC
Long non-coding RNA from Corapipo altera (White-ruffed manakin), 2028 nucleotides. RefSeq lists it as uncharacterized. The record is from RefSeq and is a predicted model, not a curated record. The transcript has 2 exons. Lineage: Eukaryota; Metazoa; Chordata; Aves; Passeriformes; Pipridae.